CUGAAACUUGCAGUCUUGUGUUGGCACCGCGGGGCGUUGGGCAGUACAGUAGAGACGCCUGCAUUUCAACUCUGAUGCUUUUGAGGCCUCAAGAAGACUUGAGGAAAAUCUCCCGUGAUGUGUUUGAUAUUCUGCUCUGACACAAAAGGAGUCAAGGCAGACAGGAGCCAAAAGUUUGCACAUCAAACAAACCCAAGGAGACAACAGAGAGCCUGCUGCUGGUUCUUUCAUACCUGCUUUCUUUGAGAAUGACAGAUCACUUAUUUCCUCAAACAAAAUACCACCAAACCAAAGAGGUUGUCAGAAAAGAGAGUAAGCAUAACUAAAUAAAAAUAAAUGGCCACAACAACUGGCACUAUUAACAGGUGGAUCUUCUCAUAUUUUUUUUUUGUCACAGAUUCUUCAAGUUCUUCCUGUUUGGGAUGGUUCUCCUGGCUCAGUGGUUAAUUGUUCCACCAGAGGAGCUGAAUCUCAUGAAAACCCACCUCCACCUGGAGCGAGGGCCGACCGGUGCCGCCUGGAAGCUGAUGCAAGCAGCUGCCUGCAUUCUAAAGCUAGAAACCACUAUUAAAUAUAGAAAUACACAUUCUAGAAGCAGUUGUCUGGGCUUCCUGCAUCCUCAGCACUUCCACAGAUGUACUAUGUAAAUGAACGCAACGCACGUCUGCAUUAACGUGCAAGAUGUAGUGUAUUAAAAAUGAUUCUAGGCUGGACC
Molecule: long non-coding RNA, 715 nt
Filed under: Takifugu rubripes (torafugu)
Lineage: Eukaryota; Metazoa; Chordata; Actinopteri; Tetraodontiformes; Tetraodontidae
Description: lncRNA (ENSTRUG00000028704.1)
Source: RNAcentral